This 22-nucleotide non-coding RNA is filed under the name Arabidopsis thaliana (thale cress). The record is from RNAcentral. Lineage: Eukaryota; Viridiplantae; Streptophyta; Magnoliopsida; Brassicales; Brassicaceae.
UUUAGUGUCUUUAUCAACAAAG